This 72-nucleotide transfer RNA is filed under the name Russula griseocarnosa. Its description in RNAcentral is "tRNA-Lys". It matches the Rfam family "tRNA". Rfam says of the family: Transfer RNA (tRNA) molecules are approximately 80 nucleotides in length. The record is from RNAcentral. Lineage: Eukaryota; Fungi; Basidiomycota; Agaricomycetes; Russulales; Russulaceae.
GUAAGCAGAACUCGAGUGGUUGAGUGUCUCCCUUUUAAGGAGAAAGUCUUGGUUCAAAUCCAAGUGCUUUCA